UUACCAUUAUCUCAUCUGUAACUGAAACCAUAUUCAUUUGUCUUCCCAGGACAGGCCACUGAAGGAAGAAAAAGUAAAACAUUUUAUUUGUGAGUAAUACCAAGCUUGUUCAGUGUCUGCCAAGAUUUCACCAAGAAAGGAAUUACCAACAGUCAUCACAGUUAAAGAUGGACAAAGGCUGGAUUUGUCUGUGGUUUCGAGAUCUUCCAGAGAAAUGCGGCUAAGAACCAUUAAGUUCUACUUCAGUAUGAGGAGAAAUUGAUUGGGAUGAAAUCAGGUCAGUGUUUUAUUACCAGUCAAGGGAGAAUUUCAUGUCCUCACAUGUUAAGCUUCAAUAAUGUAUAGGAUACCUUAAUCAGUAAAUAACAU
Molecule: long non-coding RNA, 369 nt
Filed under: Coturnix japonica (Japanese quail)
Lineage: Eukaryota; Metazoa; Chordata; Aves; Galliformes; Phasianidae
Description: lncRNA (ENSCJPG00005011789.1)
Source: RNAcentral